This 1366-nucleotide ribosomal RNA is filed under the name metagenome. Its description in RNAcentral is "bacterial LSU rRNA". It matches the Rfam family "Bacterial large subunit ribosomal RNA", at positions 1549 to 2925 of the family's 2925-position model. The record is from RNAcentral.
GUUAAGAUUGAGCUGUGAUGGGGAAGCACUUUCGUGUGCGAAGUAUCUGAUGUCACACUGCCAAGAAAAUCUUCUAGCGUUUAAUUAUAACCUACCCGUACCGCAAACCGGCACAGGUAGUCGAGGCGAGUAGCCUCAGGUGAGCGAGAGAACUCUCGUUAAGGAACUCGGCAAAAUGACCCCGUAACUUCGGGAGAAGGGGUGCUCUACAUUUGUAGAGCCGCAGUGAAUAGGCCCAAGCGACUGUUUAUCAAAAACACAGCUCUCUGCUAAAUCGUAAGAUGAUGUAUAGGGGGUGACGCCUGCCCGGUGCUGGAAGGUUAAGAGGAGUGCUUAGCGUAAGCGAAGGUAUGAAUUGAAGCCCCAGUAAACGGCGGCCGUAACUAUAACGGUCCUAAGGUAGCGAAAUUCCUUGUCGGGUAAGUUCCGACCCGCACGAAAGGCGUAACGAUUUGGGCACUGUCUCAACGAGAGACUCGGUGAAAUUUUAGUACCUGUGAAGAUGCAGGUUACCCGCGACAGGACGGAAAGACCCCAUGGAGCUUUACUGCAAGUUGAUAUUGAGUAUCUGUUGCACAUGUACAGGAUAGGUAGGAGCCAUUGAACUGAGGACGCUAGUUUUCAGUGAGGCGUUGUUGGGAUACUACCCUUGUGUCAUGGCUACUCUAACCCGCACGGCUAAUCGUCGUGGGAGACAGUGUCUGCUGGGCAGUUUGACUGGGGCGGUCGCCUCCUAAAGAGUAACGGAGGCGCUCAAAGUUUCCCUCAGCAUGGUUGGAAAUCAUGCGUAGAGUGUAAAGGUAUAAGGGAGAUUGACUGCGAGACAUACAAGUCGAGCAGGUACGAAAGUAGGACUUAGUGAUCCGGUGGUACCGCAUGGAAGGGCCAUCGCUCAACGGAUAAAAGCUACCCUGGGGAUAACAGGCUUAUCUCCCCCAAGAGUUCACAUCGACGGGGAGGUUUGGCACCUCGAUGUCGGCUCGUCGCAUCCUGGGGCUGUAGUCGGUCCCAAGGGUUGGGCUGUUCGCCCAUUAAAGCGGCACGCGAGCUGGGCUCAGAACGUCGUGAGACAGUUCGGUCCCUAUCCGUCGCGGGCGUAGGAAAUUUGAGAGGAUCUGCCCUUAGUACGAGAGGACCGGGGUGGACUUACCGCUGGUGUACCAGUUGUCUUGCCAAAGGCAUCGCUGGGUAGCUAUGUAGGGAACGGAUAAACGCUGAAAGCAUCUAAGUGUGAAACCAACCUCAAGAUGAGAUUUCCCAUUCUUUAUGAAUUAAGAGCCCUGAGAGAUGAUCAGGUAGAUAGGCUAGAAGUGGAAGGGUAGUGAUACUUGGAGCGGACUAGUACUAAUAGCUCGAGGACUUUACC